Molecule: long non-coding RNA, 102 nt
Organism: Thalassophryne amazonica
Lineage: Eukaryota; Metazoa; Chordata; Actinopteri; Batrachoidiformes; Batrachoididae
Exons: 3
Source: RefSeq, a predicted model, not a curated record
CCAAGCUUAAAUGUUAGAAAUCUUUAGGCUAAGAGUGAUCCAGAAAGUGUCUAAAUGCAACUCUAAGCAAGGAGGGGACAGAAACUCUUAUCUUUGUGAGGA